ACACACUAAAAAUGGGAACCAUACAAUAUUCUCACACUUCACACAUUCCCAAUAGAAUAUAUACACAGACAUUCCAUUCACAGGGGAACAAAGACAUAUACGCACAUCAACACAGAGGAGGAGAACACACAAAAUACUCACCGGAAAAAGGAUAUUCUUCACACACAUCCCAUCUUCUCCACAUAGACCACCACAUUCACAUACACACAAUACAAUUCACACAGAGAAAGCUACGAAUACACAUACACUACACACACAAGCGUAUCAAAAAAAGAGGAGUAGCUCACUGGAAUAGAGGGAAAAAAGGAAAAACACACACCAGAAUACUCUCAAAAAUCCUCACUAUGGACUGAAUACAAACCUACUCCCAUAUUAUUAUCGACCUUCAACUAACGAGAUACUUCCAAUUUCCAUUCAGCUAAAACACUACAGAUACAAUACUCCACACACACAGAGAUCUAGUCAGAGUUGAGGGAAACAGAGGGGGUGAUCGGUGAUCGGGAAAGGAGAGAAAGGGUGAGAAAGAGAUAGACGGGGUAAAAAAUUUAGCCUUUUUUCCUUCUGAGUUCCUUCAUCGCCGAACUCGCCAGAGCUCCGGCAACACGAAAACGGUGAUCCCGAACUGCAUCACUAAAAUCCAUCGAAAAGUGGUAAAAAAUCGGUGACCCAAAUCUGUCACCACCGCAAUCCAUUUUCAUUUGAGCUUUCUAGUCGAUUGAAGAAUCUGUCACAAUUCAUUUCUUGUUAUCAAAUUGAUUGUUUGAUACUUGGCAUCGCGUUUGGCAAAACAUAGUUUGAGGCCGAGGUUUACUCGGAUUUAAUCUCAAUUUGAGGUAUUCCGGCACUGCUUCAUCGAAUAAUUUGGGACUGAAAUAAAAAUUGAUGUCCAUUUAUUUUAACUAUAUUUCUCAUAUUUUAUCUUAAUUUGGUGUUGAUGUUUUGAUUACAUGUGUGAUGAUAUGAUUUAGUAGUAUGGGUGGAGUGAAUUUGUACAAUUUUGAUUGUGUGAUUGAUCAAAAAUGAAUUUAGGGACGAUAUUAAAAAUUGUCUAAUUGAAAAUUUCAUUUGGUUUAUUUGAAUUGUUAAUUCUGAUUCAUGGAUGAUGUUCAAC
RNAcentral lists this long non-coding RNA (1111 nucleotides) under Capsicum annuum. RNAcentral describes it as "long non-coding RNA (CANN_LNC010455)". Lineage: Eukaryota; Viridiplantae; Streptophyta; Magnoliopsida; Solanales; Solanaceae. The record is from RNAcentral.